CUUCCGGGCAGUUGGCACAGCACCUGCAUUAGAACUUCCCACAAUUCAUCGAGCGCAACCCUCAACGGCGAGGGGUGGCGCUCCCCGAGCGAUUCGGGAUCGGACAAAGGCGUCCUGCUGGCAACGGCAGGACGCC
RNAcentral lists this small RNA (136 nucleotides) under Geopseudomonas sagittaria. Its description in RNAcentral is "Pseudomonas sagittaria Pseudomonas sRNA P11". It matches the Rfam family "Pseudomonas sRNA P11". From Rfam's summary of the family: P11 is located between a putative threonine protein kinase and putative nitrate reductase and appears to be conserved in several Pseudomonas species. Lineage: Bacteria; Pseudomonadati; Pseudomonadota; Gammaproteobacteria; Pseudomonadales; Pseudomonadaceae. The record is from RNAcentral.